This 305-nucleotide ribosomal RNA is filed under the name uncultured bacterium. RNAcentral describes it as "bacterial SSU rRNA". It matches the Rfam family "Bacterial small subunit ribosomal RNA", at positions 335 to 657 of the family's 1533-position model. The record is from RNAcentral.
GGCCCUACGGGGGGCAGCAGUGGGGAAUAUUGCGCAAUGGGGGAAACCCUGACGCAGCAACGCCGCGUGCGGGAUGAAGGCCUGCGGGUUGUAAACCUCUUUCAGCAGGGAAGAUCCAAGACGGUACCUGCAGAAGAAGCCCCGGCUAACUACGUGCCAGCAGCCGCGGUAAUACGUAGGGGGCGAGCGUUAUCCGGAUUCAUUGGGCGUAAAGCGCGCGCAGGCGGGUUGCUAAGCGGGACCUCUAAUCUCAGGGCUCAACCCUGGGCCGGGUCCCGAACUGGCCGCCUCGGGUUCGGGAGGGG